Molecule: ribosomal RNA, 253 nt
Filed under: uncultured bacterium
Lineage: Bacteria
Description: partial 16S ribosomal RNA
Rfam family: Bacterial small subunit ribosomal RNA
Source: RNAcentral
UACGAAGGGGGCUAGCGUUGUUCGGAAUUACUGGGCGUAAAGCGCGCGCAGGCGGCUAUCCAAGUCAGUGGUGAAAGCCCGGAGCUCAACUCCGGAACUGCCAUUGAAACUGUUUAGCUUGAGGAUGAGAGAGGUGAGUGGAAUUCCCAGUGUAGAGGUGAAAUUCGUAGAUAUUGGGAAGAACACCAGUGGCGAAGGCGGCUCACUGGCCCGGAACUGACGCUGAGGUACGAAAGCGUGGGGAGCAAACAGG